AUUGAACGCUGGCGGCGUGCCUAACACAUGCAAGUCGAACGAUGAUGGAUGAGCUUGCUCAUCCUGAUUAGUGGCGCACGGGUGAGUAUACCAUAGAUAAUGUACCCCUUAGUUCGGGAUAGCCACUGGAAACGGUGAUUAAUACCGGAUACUCCUUCUUGCCAUAAGGUAAGUCGGGAAAGUUUUUUCGCUAAGGGAUCAGUCUAUGUCCUAUCAGGUAGUUGGUGAGGUAACGGCUCACCAAGCCUAUGACGGGUAUCUGGUUUGAGAGGAUGAUCAGACAAACUGGAACUGGGACACGGUCCAGACUCCUACGGGAGGCAGCAGUGAGGAAUAUUGCACAAUGGAGGAAACUCUGAUGCAGCAACGCCGCGUGGAGGAUGACGCAUUUCGGUGUGUAAACUCCUUUUAAGAGGGAAGAUUAUGACGGUACCUCUUGAAUAAGCACCGGCUAACUCCGUGCCAGCCGCCGCCGUAA
RNAcentral lists this ribosomal RNA (478 nucleotides) under uncultured bacterium. RNAcentral's name for it is "partial 16S ribosomal RNA". It matches the Rfam family "Bacterial small subunit ribosomal RNA", at positions 30 to 523 of the family's 1533-position model. The record is from RNAcentral.